GUGUUUUCCUUUUUAAAUGCGAGGUUUCAAGAAUGUCGGUGCUCCUGCUAGAACAUGGGAAGGAUUACCUACUUCAAUUUCCUCCUGGAUCCUGACCUGGCAUAAUUAUGAGCCAGCAGAAACACAUCUGGUCACACUGCUCAAAAGGUCUGCUGCUACAGGAGGCCGCAAGCAUCUGGAACAAAAAGGUAGAGCAGGGUGGAGACGAUGUGGGAUGCAAGCAGGAAGAGGCGGGCUGCCCUGUCCCCCAAGGGGUCAAGAUGAGCCUUCAUGAAGAGGUAAGGAAAGGCCAGGAGAAGAAGUGGGCCGGGGAAGAGGAGCGGGGACAUACUUUGCCAGGGGGCGCCUGCUUGGCAGGGUCACGGUAUCUGAGAGGCAUGGCAGAUUUGGGCAAGGGUGACAUGGCUGACUCUGUGCUUUUUUAA
This 425-nucleotide long non-coding RNA is filed under the name Fukomys damarensis (Damara mole-rat). Its description in RNAcentral is "lncRNA (ENSFDAG00000026885.1)". The record is from RNAcentral. Lineage: Eukaryota; Metazoa; Chordata; Mammalia; Rodentia; Bathyergidae.